GUAAGGCAACGGGUUUUGGUCCCGUUAUUUGGAGGUUCGAAUCCUUCCGUCCCAGA
Molecule: transfer RNA, 56 nt
Filed under: Anathallis lobiserrata
Lineage: Eukaryota; Viridiplantae; Streptophyta; Magnoliopsida; Asparagales; Orchidaceae
Description: partial tRNA-Gln
Rfam family: tRNA
About the family: Transfer RNA (tRNA) molecules are approximately 80 nucleotides in length. Their secondary structure includes four short double-helical elements and three loops (D, anti-codon, and T loops).
Source: RNAcentral